RNAcentral lists this long non-coding RNA (11136 nucleotides) under Fragaria vesca (wild strawberry). Its description in RNAcentral is "long non-coding RNA (FVES_LNC001508)". The record is from RNAcentral. Lineage: Eukaryota; Viridiplantae; Streptophyta; Magnoliopsida; Rosales; Rosaceae.
GUCGAACCCAACACCAAAUCGUUAUCUACACCCUCGACAUUGGCCACGAAUGAGGAAAUGUACGGAUCCGCGUAUAUCCGGUCGGGUAUAUGGUUUUGUAGUGGGAAAUCGUCUCCGGUCGGGUUCACGAUGUGGUGGUACGUGUGUAGUCGGUUAUGCAUGAAACAACCUCCCAAGCCCGUAAACCAGCAGACAUUCCACCACAACCAAGGCCGCCCCGAGGUUCCUACCCAUAAGUAGGGUGGGCCGGGCCCAUCCUUGGUGGUUACGCUAGGCUUGGAACGACUGCAGAAGGCAUAGGGAAGUCUACACUUGAAACAACAAAUAAGGGUGGAAGUCCCACAUCGGUUUUCAAGUAAAGAGAACCCACUUUAGGCCAUAAAUAUGGCCCAGCCACCAACUUGUCAGGUAUCAUUAACUACCCUAGUAAUUAUAUUCUACCAGCAUAUACUGACUUAGCCAUCAGAGGAGGAAAGACCGAAAGCCCCCGAUCGUCCUUUUGUUUACAUGUCAGCGGGAAGAUCGCAAAUCACCUACCAGACACGCCAUCAGCUUCUGCAACCCUAUCCGGGAUUGUACAGAAACAUUUGGCACCGUCUGUGGGAACCUUUACAAAAAGCCAGCGUGACUCGAUGACUGAGUUAACCGAACAACAAGAGCAGGAUGCAAGACAGGAAGAGCAGAGGGAGGUGAUAUACGAAAGGACCACCGAGACAGCAGGGGAAAGUUCAAGAAUCACGGGAAGAGCUCCGCACAAUAAAACACCAGAGUAUGUGCCGUGAGAUCUCAAUCCCCAAGAGGUAGCCGAGAUGUUGGAAGAUAUGAGGGCCCAAAUCACUUGACUAGAGCGACAAAGUGUAAGGGAUUGAGAGGAAGCCUCCGGGAGGGAGCACAUGUUAGAAAAGGAUAACGCCACGCUCAUGAGUGCGCUAGCCCGAGGGGUUGAGCACCGGGAGGCGUUGGAUCGAGGAACGGAGUUGGAUCGGGCGGCCACAUCUCAGCAGAUGGGCGCUCCGGUGGGAACAAACCGUAGGAUCAUGCAUAUCGGGACGAAUUUGUUCCCGGAUUAAAUGCGGGAUGAAGGACCGCUACCUUUACCCGAGCCAAUCCCAGAAGUCCAAGUCAGAAGCCCGGGAGAGAUGGAAGAAACCCUAAGAGCUAUCUGGGAUAACAUGGCGAGUUUGGCAGACGGUCUCGGAUGCCGAGAGAAGGGGGACAUGUAAUCCGUCUCGCGCGAGUUUCGAAGAAAGGGGGGACCGUUCACAAGAGCGAUCACCUAGUUCGUCCGAUCGAACACAGCCAAGCUAUUGAAGCUUAGCUACAACGGGGAUCGGGACCCCCAUCUUUUCCUUGAUAACAUCAAGUCUCACACGAACGCUAAAGGAUACUCGAAUGCAAUAUGCUGCAACAUGUUUCAAGAAACCUUAGUAGGGGAAGCGCUCAGUUGGUUAUACGAGCUCCCGUCAAACUCGAUCGAUUGCUUCCGGGAAUUAGUGGACAUGUUUGUCAAUAGGUUCCUCCUACGGACGGACGGGCAUAACACCGCCCAAUUGUUCAAAGUGCAGCAAGAUAGGGGAAAGGGGUUGAAAGCUUUUGUGAACCGUUGGCAAGGAGCCACAACAAGAGUCAGAACUUUGACAAAAAGGUUGCAGAUGAGGCGUUCAUUCAAGAGUUGCUUCCCGGGAAGUUCAUGUAUGCAGUAAAAAUCGAAAAUCCGCAAGGCUACGACGAGCUUAUGGAAAUGGCGAUCCAGCAUGCCCAGGCAUAUCAUGAUACUUACGGGGGGACCUCGGCCGGGAAUAGGAAGCUCGAAAGGAGAGAAGGAGUCGGUGCACGUGGUCCAGGAGGUAAGGGCCUGGACGGGAGAGCAAAAGUCGAACUCGUACUCUUCUGGAAACAGGCACGAGAGGAACAGGAGGAAGGCAGGGAAGCAGUAUAAUGCACAAGGGAAUGCAAAGGGCCCUUACUGGGUAUACAAGGACGGCGCCGACAGUGAAAGAGCAGUUCUCAGCGCUUAACGCCACUUACGAGGCAAUAUGGAAUGAGAAUAAGUCUGUCAUUCCAUCUCCCCCUGCCAAGAAGUUCCCCGAGUCCUCGAGGCUCACCAAAGAAGACACAGAAAAAUUUUGUGGGUACCACGGGGAGACAAGUCACCAAAUAAAUAACUACAUAGAGCUAAAGAGGGCGGUUGAGGGCCGACUGAAAGAAAGAAAAUUGCAGCAGUAUGUGCCCAGUCAGAGGCACGUAGGGGCAAUCGAAGUGUAUGGGAUGAUCAACACCAUCCUUAGCGGGUCCCGAAUAGAUAAUAGGAGCAAUAAGACAAAAAAACAGUGUACGGGAAGAAAGGAUGGCCGAGAGGUUUUCGUCUUUAGAAGUAGCAAUAAUCAGCGAGUAACCACUGGUUGGAAAUCUGUUACCUUCCUAAAAGAGGAAGAGGAAGGGAUAAAGCCGCACGAGGACCCGUUCCUGAUAACGUUACAACUCGAUCACUAUAUCACGAAGAAUAUCCUGGUUGACACGGGAGCUUCCAUAUGUCAACGUGCUAUUUAGGAGUGCCUAGAAAAGAUUGCACCGAGGGAGUAACAAGUUGAUAUAAGACCAUGAGCCAUUAAUCAGUUUCUCGGGUGAUGUCAUUCAGCUCCUCGGAUCGGAUAGUUUUGGGGUAAGCAUGGAAGGCCGAGAGGAAGUCUCCCGGGCAACAGUGGAAUUCAUUGUAGUGGACUGUGAGUCGUCCUACAACGGGAUCUUGGGAAGGCCUGCCUUAUAGAAGCUAAAGUCGUUUGUCGCCGACCACAUGUUGAUGAUGAAAGUCCCAACCCCAACGCGAGUCAUUACUAUCCGGGGAGAUCAGGGUGCGGCAAGGAGUUGCAGUGCAAUAGACAACAAGAGGAAAAGGUCGGAGGUCCUGUCAGCAAGCCAGGCUGUGAUCCCCCCCCCCCCCCCCCCCCUCCGGAUCCAUAUGUGGAUCCCAGAGACGAUACUGACUCGGAUGAGGAGCGUCCUGGAUCUGCAAGAGAAACAAAAGUAGUGUCGGUCUCAGAUGAGUUCCCAUAUCGGCAAGUAACCAUAGGGACAGGACAGACACCUGGUGUACGAACGACACUAAUGGAAUUUUUGAAGAGAAACAGUGGGGCGUUUGCUUGGACAUACAAGGAUAUGCCCGGGAUAUCGAGUGGCAUCGUAACACACAAGUUAGGGAUCGAGAAGGGUUUCCCUCCCGUAAGGCAAAAGCGAAGGACGUAUAAGCCAAAAAAGUAUGAAGCAAUGAAAGGCGAAGUGAAAAAAUUGAUGGACAUCAGGUUCAUAAGGGAUGUUAGGUACCCCCGGUGGCUGGCCAAUGUGGUCAUGGUUCCAAAAAAGUCAACGGGACAAUGGAGGAUGUGGGUGGAUUAUUCGAACCUCAACAGGGCAUGCCCAAAGGAUAGCUUCCCGCUCCCGCGCAUAGAUCAGUUAGUGGACUCCACGUCCGGGUUUGAAUUGAUGACUUCAUGGACGCUUACGCGGGUUACAACCAGAUAAAGAUGGAUCCGGGGGACGAGGAGCACACAGCUUUCACAACAGACAGGGGGUUAUAUUGCUACAAGGUCAUGGCCUUUGGAUUGAAAAAUGCAGGAGCAACCUACCAGCGGUUUAUGAAUGUCAUGUUCGCCGAGUACCUUGGGAAAAUAAUGGAGGUAUAUGUCGAUGACAUGCUGGUCAAGAGUCUAAUUGCCGAGGAGCAUGUGGGGCAUCUGAAGAAAGUAUUCGAGGUAAUACUGAGAUACGGGAUGAGGCUGAACCCUCAGAAAUGCAUAUUCAGAGUGACCAAAGGGAAAUUUUUGGGCCACAUAAUCAACAGGAGGGGAAUAGAGGCCAACCCGGAAAAGAUCCAAGCCAUUUUGGAUAUGGAAAGGCCCACGAAAAGAAAUGAAGUGCAGUCGUUGGCCGGGAAGAUUGUCGCCUUCGUCCGGUUAGUAUCGCGACUCACGGAUAAGUGUGCCCCUUUCUUUCGGCUGUUGAAAGACCAGCGGUGUAAGGAGAUAAUAUGGGGGCCCGAGCAGGAAGAAGCUUUCAAGCAGAUAAAGGCAUAUCUCACGUCUGCGACAGUUUUGUCAAAAUCGAUCCCGGGCGAGAUGCUUUACUUGUACAUUGCGGCAUCGCGAACGGCGGUUAGCUCGGUACUGAUAAGAAAAGAGUCCAAUAUCGAGCAUGCGAUGUUUUACGCCGGGAAUGGAUUCACACCCGUAGAGAGUAGAUACCCAGAUGUUGAAAAAUUAGCUUUGACGCUCAUCGUGACCGCCAAAAGGCUCAGACACUACUUCCAGGCACACUCGAUAACCCUUUAUACCAACUAUCCCCUGAGACAGAUCAUGCAAAAACCAGAUAUCAACGGGAGGCUGGUAAAGUGGGCGAUUGACCUAGGAGAGUUUGAUAUCCACUAUCGGCUGAGAAUAGCAAUCAAGGGCCAAACAGCAGCCGACUUUAUAUUCGAACUCAUGCCCAUGAAAAUGAUGGGGGAAUCAUCCGAGCUCACGCCCGUGAAAGUAGUGGGAGAGUCAUCAGAGGUCGGUCGGGAGGAAAGUUAUGCCAGGGCGGCCGCGAAAACACACAGUGAGGACCCACCAGCGCCACUUUGGAAGCUUUUUGUUGACGGCUCGGUGACGAGAAAUAAAAGCGGGACGAGAAUAAUAUUGGAGACUCCCGAUGGAUUCAAGCAUGAGUAUGCCUUGGAGUUUCAAUUUAAGACAUCCAACAAUGCGGCAGAGUACGAAGCUUUGAUUGGCGGAUUGCAGCUCGCCGGAGAUAUAGGAGUGGAGAAUGUGGAAGUGUUCAGUGAUUCACAGCUUGUUGUAAAUCAAGUCAACGGGAGCUUCAUAGCUAAGGAGCCUCAGUUGAACUCUUACCAGGUACUAUCCAAAUUCUUCAUGCAUCGCUUCAAGUCGGCCUCCCUAUCUCACAUCCCGCGGAAGGAAAAUAGUAAUGAAGAUGCUCUUGCUUGGCUGACUACCGGAGGGCCUGGAAAAGGAAGAAAGAAAGCAAGGAUUGAGGUGUUAGGAAGCCCGAGCAUAAGUAAAACCAUCUCGGAGAUCUUUAUGGUCGAAGCGGGGCCCGGAGAGCCUACAUGGAUGAACCCCAUAGUCGAGUUCAUGAAGGAGGGUGUGCGCCCGGAGGACAAGCGGCAAGCACGAAAACUGCAAUCGAGAUGUGCGAAGUACACACGCAUGAACGAGAAGCUAUAUCGUAGAGGUUACAGUUUUCCAAACCUAAAGUGCGUAACGGAAAAGGAAAGCGAGGCGAUCAUGGGGGAAAUACACGAGGGAGUGUGCAGAAAUCAUUCUAGAUCUUGGUCAUUGGCACAUAAGGCGCUUCGAACAGGGUUUUUCUAGCCUAACAUGGGUGCCAUGGCGGAUAAGAUGUUUGGAGGGUGCCAUAAAUGCCGCUUCUACGCUAACGAGACACAUUCCCCUCCUAUUGCUCUAUCAAUCCUACUGUCGCCCUGGCCUUUUGCACAAUGGGGUUUGGACCUCAUCGGGAUACUGCCAACGGCACCAGGAUGUAAUAGUGGUCGUUGACUAUUACACAAAAUGGGUGGAGGCGGAGCCCUUGGGGAAGAUAACCACCGAGUGUGUGAAGAAUUUCCUGAUGAAGAACAUAUAUUGCAGAUUCAGGGUCCCGAAUACAAUCGUCACGGACAAUGGUACACAAUUCAACAAUAACUAUCUGAAUGAGCUCACGAAGGACAUGGGCACCAAGAUGGUCUUCGCGUUGGUGGCACACUCACAGACCAAUGGUCAGAUGGAGGCAGUGAACAAAAUCAUUAAAAAGCUUAUGAAGUAGAAGUUAGACGACGCAAAGGGUCUGUGGGCACAGAAGCUGCCGGAGGUAUUAUGAGCAAUUAGGACCACAGCAACAGAAUCAACCAGAGAAACGUCUUUCAGCAUGGCCUUUGGCACGGAGGCUGUCUUGCCAAUUGAGACGUCAAUACCGUCGGGAAGGGUUGAGAACUUUGAUGCCACCACCAAUAAGGAAGGCCUCCGGUUGAAUAUUGACCUCAUCGAGGGAAGGAGGGAGAGAGCAGACUUGCAUAGCCAAGUCUAUAAGUAGAGAGUUGCACGUCAUUACAAUAGUAAAGUCAGGACCCGGACAUUGAGACUGGGGGACUGGGUAAUGAAGAAAAUCAUGACCAAGAUGAUGGCUUUGGAUCCAACAUGGGAAGGGCCAUACGAGAUAAUUGAAGAGGUCAGCCUAGCAACUUUCUUUCUCCGAGAUCAGAAUGGGAUAGUCACCAUGCACCCUUGGAAUAGCACCUGAAAUUCUACCCAGUGUGAAAGGGGCCGAGACCCAUCCUAUCUUUGUAAAAUGUACAUUUAUAAGUAUUGCUGCCCCCGGGAGAACAACAAGUCCCGGAGGAUGUCUUCAUUCGUUUUGAAAGACUUAAUGCAGGAAUGGGGAAGUUGAAUUCAAAUUCCAAUGAUAGGCAAUCCACCGGGAGGCAUAAGUCAAUAAAAUCCCGAGUAAUAUCGAACAAGAUAGGUAAUCCACCAGGGGGCAUAAGGUAAUAAAAUCCCGAGUAAUAUCAAAGGGGAUAAGUAAUCAACCGAGAGGCAAAACUUAUUGAAAUCCCCAGUAACACUGAGCGAGAUAGGCAUAAUACAAAUUAUAUAUAACACAACAGAUAUAAGCAACAAAGAUGGAUAAGUCAUAAUAUAUCAAAACCCGGAAUGCUGGGAGUAUACCAUCAAUGGGUAUUUACAAAAAUCCCGGGAUGUGUAAUCACCGGGACAAGGCACAAGGCUAAUGUCUUACAAAAGCAAAAGAAAAAGGAAAAUUACAACUUAUGCCUCCUGGCCGUCUUUUUCCUUGUCCUCGGACGACUCAGCCAGGUUGUCAUUUCCAUCAGCGCCCUUGUUAGCAUUAUUCUCGGACGGUUCACCUGCCAAGUCCUUUGCGCUAUCACGCUCUUUCUCGGUAGCUGCCUUGGACUUCGCCUCCCUCUCUCUAGCCUCUCGGGAAGCGAGCAAAUCGGCAGUCAUCUUUGCCUUGUCCAAGUACCCAAGGCGGCUCCAUUCACCAAACUUCUCGGUGAUGCCACCCUCCCGAGCUGCCUUCAGCAUGGCCUUCAGCUAGUCCGACUCCUUGAACUUGGUAAUGGCAAACUCGCCUUGAGCGGGAAUCUGACCCUGUAGAUUAACUAUUUGGUUGUCCCUCUCCUUCAGCUUGGACCGCAGCUUAGCGUUCUCCCGCUGAAGCGCGUCUAUGUCACACUCCAAGGCGACCACCCUUACAGCUUUUCCCUAUAACUCUUUGUUGUGGAGGCUGAGUUUGGCGAACUUGUCGGCCAGCAAGAGUUUCUUCCUCUCGGCUUUCAAGUCCUUCUCCAUCUUCUUCUUCUCGGCCCCGAGAUAGCUGAUCUGGUCGCUCAGGCUGGCCAGGCGCUCUUUCAUCUCAUUGGAGUCCUCGCUGGCAUCGAUGGCAUAGACAGCAAAUAGGGUCUACAAAGAGAAAAUAAAUUAAAUAUAACAUCCCGAACAGUAAAUUGGCAUUUGAAAGAAGAAGCUUACCUUCAUCAUGACCUCCCGGGCGUAUUGCCGGUUCUGUUGAGGGGUAUUAGACCCUACCCUGAUCUGGUCCAGCUCUAUUCCCUUCAGGUCGCCCAUCAUGCUGCAGACGAACCUUUCGUCGGCGCACCCAUACUCAUCCAGUAUCUGCUGGAUGGGGGUCUUCUUGAUCUGGGGAAGAGCAGGAGCGAGAGCGCUCAAGGUCACCGGGUUGUCGGCCGAAGGACCUGUUGCUUUCUGUUUCUUCCGGGGUGGCGAGGCGCCGGACACGCUCAGGACAGUUAAAGUCACUUCCUUAUCCCGCUGCGACUUUGACUUCUUAAACGACGAUUUCUUCUUCUUCUCACCCAAGUUGACAUUGAUUACGUCACCAGUCCUUGUAGGCCGCUCUGUGUCAGAACUCGGCUUCCCGUAUCCUUCAUCGGGAAUCUCUAGGAGCACAAGUGUCUUCGAAACUCGAGCGGUAGAGUCCUCCAGGUUCACUUCAAUAUGGGAAGUGGUCUUUCCAACCUCCAGGAAGGCACCCAGCAGGUCCAAGUCUGAAUCCAUGUCGUGCGGGUAUGAGGGACGGGGUUUACGCUUGGGUACCUUAGAUGCCAGCAAACGCAACAUUCAGUAAAAAGAAAACAGAGAAAAACGCAAGUAUGAAACAACAAUUGAGAGACAUUGUACCGGGAACCCCACCAGGCAUUCGGCCGAGUUCACAGUGAACUAGCACACUGAUCAAGUUGUACGAGAUGCGAUCCUCGUCCGAGGGCCAUGCCGUAAAUAUCCGGGCAAUCUGUUGCUUCUCGAUCCCCGAUAGCGAGAAGGACUGAUCCCGGAUAUACCUAAACCGAUUGGGCACCACGUGCGUUGGGCAGUUUCUUUGCCAUCGACCGUCGGUAAGCAUGACCUUUGAACGCCAGUUGUUAUUGAUGGACGUUGGAAGAUCAGUAACGAGAGACAUGUAAUCCCGAGCGGAAAAUGAAACACACCCGUUGCAGUUCUAUUUCUUCGAGUACGAGAGGCGGUAGAGGGCUCGAAAGUCGUUGAUCGUUAGCCAUCCCAUUUCGGACAAGUAGUACAUGCAGCAAAGGGACAACAACUGACGCCAUUGAUUCGGGGGGAUCUGCCCGGGAGCUAGCUGAAGCAUGCUCAGCAACACGCACUGAGGGAGCGGGAGAGAGAAACCGUCCCUAAACAUAUUGUCGUGCACAACGACGAACCCAUCUCUCGGACAGCACGCGAACUCGUCUUCGUAAAGCCCACGGAGGGUAACCUUUUGCGAGAUGCCCCAAUCUUCCCGAAACCGUUCUAUCUCUGUCGGGGACAUGCUGCUCUCAGGCUCGUCACACACGGUGUCGUCCUCUAAGAUAUAUCGCUUAGCCGAGCUUGCGACGCUGGUCAUCGGGACGCCAUGGUAAACCCCGGCAGACCAAUCGACAUUCCGGGCGGGUACACCUGUGGGUAACUCUACAGGUUCACCCGGGCAGGAUGGUUGACUGAUGUACUCCUCCAUCCUCUCGUCGUCAUCCACUAUUGUAAUAUCUCGUAUACAAUGUAAGUAAUAGUGAUUGAGUGUUCAAUAUGGUAAAUAAAGAAUAGAAAAAAAAAAAAAAAAGGAACAAGAGAUGAACUGACCUGGAGGGUCUAGAAGGGUCGACCAGGAACCAACCUAAGUAAGAAAUAAAAGGAAAGAUGAGUGCUAGAGACUGGGGCAGAAUUCCUGACCCGUUUCAGACGCUCAACAAGCCGCGGCUGCGGGAGAAGAGACGUUCCACGAUCAGGCGUCUCUCAUCUAUGCACCUUCACCAAUUCUUUGUUAGCUCUCAUCUAGUCUAUAUUCAUAGGUUGGGAGGUGAACCUCAGUACUCAAAACCCAGGAAUUUAAGUUUCAUAGAUCUAAUUCGACGAGAGCUGUGAUCAAUUUUUUUUUUCCUGAAAUCGAUCAUUACGACCUCGGACUAGGUCAGGUAAGUAUUGACUGUGGUGGAUAAAAUUGAUUUCAAUUGUUUCUUGAUUUAGUUAUGGGUCAAGGUGUUACAACUAUCGGCCAAGAGGAUGUGCUAGCCCCGCUUAAGUCAAUCGUACUUCGGGAAUCCAUUUACCUUUGUAUAACAAACCCUAAGAUUUAUUAGUAUGCACUGCCGGGAGCAAGCACAAAAUUCACAGUUUAACACAGCCUAAACCCAGAAAGCCCUAGAAUCCCAAAAUCCCUAGUUUUUACCCAACCAUUACAAAAGCAGCACAACCCAGAGAAGCAAAAACAAAGGCCUACACAAAGUGCAGUAGAACAAAGAAAAAGCAGCACAAAAACUUACCAGAUUUUCGACGCAGUAGCAACGCCGGAAACUCAGAGGUCCGGUAACACCUCGCAAUCGUAUGGAUCGGUGGCGGCACAGCGGUAGGACGCGAAGCAGGCAGAGAAAGAAAGCGACCAAAGUGAGAAGCGCACAGAGAAACCAAAGAAAACAAGCAGAGCACAAAAAAAAAAAAACAAUAGUGAAAACAGAGAGUGACCAGAGUGAGAAUGAGUGAAGACGAAAAGGGGGAAGAGUUUAUACCCAGAGACAAUGAGAAGUCGCCUCAAUCCAUGAACCGAAGCAUUAAAAAAACCAGUAAACGAAAACGAGGCACUCCUAGCGAUCCGAUCAAACCGCAAGAUGAGGCCACAUGGCUUAAAUCGCCGUAGCUUCUUGAAGAAGGAAAGAAUGAAGUGACGUGCAUUAAUUGUUUGGCAGUUAUCCCCAGGAAUAUUGCGACAUCUAGCGAACAUGCAUUUAAUGCACCUGUCACAACAAUGCACAAACUUCAAAGUACAAGACCCAUCUCGGGUGAGAGUCACCGAGAUCGUAAGACAAAAUGCAAGACCCAUCUCGGGUGAGAGUCACCGAGAUCGUAAGACCAAGUGCAAAAACAUCCUCCCUUUAAAAACGGAGCACGUGGCUUGAUAAACCACAGACGGCGUUAACACCCUGUCACUCGAGUAGUAAUACCGGAUAUGGAAAGGGCUCGCUACCCUUGUCCAUAGAAAAUGUAACACCCGUUCAACCCACAUCAUGAGUCCGGACUUGGGGGGACAUGGGCGAGACCCAUUUGAAAUAUACUGGUCUACGAGCUUAUUUUAGCAAGUCCCCACUCAAGAUGUGUCUUGAACGGGAAAUUGAGGGGAUUUGUAGUCGAUUGUGCAUGAAACAACCUCUCAAGCCAAUAAACCAACAGGCAUUCCACCACAACCGAGGCCGCCUCGAGGUUCCCGCCCAGAAGUAGGGUGGGCCGGGCCCAUCCUUAGUGGUUACACUGGGCUUGGAAUGACUGCAUAAGGCAUAGGGAAGUCUACACUUGAAACAGCAAACAAGGGUGGAAGUCCCACAUCGGUUUUCAAGUAAAAAGAACCCACUCUGGGCCAUAAAUAUGGCCCAGCCACCAGCUUGUCAGGUAUCAUUAACUAUCUUAGUAAUUACAUUCUACCAGCAGAUACUGACUUAGCCGUCAGAGGAGGAAAUACCGGAAGCCCCCGGUCGUCCUUUUGUUUACAGGUCAGCGGGAAGAUCGUCAGUCACCUACCAGACACUCCAUCAGCUUCUGUAACCCUAUCCGAAAUUGUACAGAAACA